GACGAGGGAUCCAAGCGUUGUUCGGAAUUAUUGGGCGUAAAGCGGGUGUAGGUGGCUAUGUAAGUCAGGUGUGAAAGCCCAGGGCUCAACCCUGGAAGUGCAUUUGAUACUGCGUAGCUUGAGUGUAGGAGAGGAUAGUAGAAUUCCUGGUGUAGUGGUGAAAUACAUAGAUAUCAGGAGGAAUACCGGAGGCGAAGGCGGCUAUCUGGCCUAACACUGACACUCAGACCCGAAAGCGUGGGGAUCAAACAGG
RNAcentral lists this ribosomal RNA (253 nucleotides) under uncultured bacterium. RNAcentral's name for it is "partial 16S ribosomal RNA". It matches the Rfam family "Bacterial small subunit ribosomal RNA", at positions 524 to 776 of the family's 1533-position model. The record is from RNAcentral.